UACGUAGGUGGCAAGCGUUAUCCGGAAUUAUUGGGCGUAAAGCGCGCGCAGGUGGUUUCUUAAGUCUGAUGUGAAAGCCCACGGCUCAACCGUGGAGGGUCAUUGGAAACUGGGAGACUUGAGUGCAGAAGAGGAAAGUGGAAUUCCAUGUGUAGCGGUGAAAUGCGUAGAGAUAUGGAGGAACACCAGUGGCGAAGGCGACUUUCUGGUCUGUAACUGACACUGAGGCGCGAAAGCGUGGGGAUCAAACAGG
This 253-nucleotide ribosomal RNA is filed under the name uncultured bacterium. RNAcentral's name for it is "partial 16S ribosomal RNA". It matches the Rfam family "Bacterial small subunit ribosomal RNA", at positions 524 to 776 of the family's 1533-position model. The record is from RNAcentral.